UCGAGAAUCUUCGGCAAUGGGCGCAAGCCUGACCGAGCGAUGCCGCGUGCGGGAUGAAGGCUUUCGGGUUGUAAACCGCUGUCGUAGGGGAGCAAGGCGUAAGCUUGAGCGAUCCUAGGAGGAAGGACCGGCUAAGUCUGUGCCAGCAGCCGCGGUAAUACAGACGGUCCAAACGUUAUUCGGAAUCACUGGGCUUAAAGAGUUCGUAGGCGGUCAGGAAAGUGGGGUGUGAAAGCCCUCGGCUCAACCGAGGAACUGCGCUCCAAACUCCCUGACUUGAGGAGGCUAGAGGUAAGCGGAACUGAUGGUGGAGCGGUGAAAUGCGUUGAUAUCAUCAGGAACACCGGAGGCGAAGGCGGCUUACUGGGGCCUUUCUGACGCUGAGGAACGAAAGCUAGGGGAGCGAACG
RNAcentral lists this ribosomal RNA (409 nucleotides) under uncultured Pirellula sp. RNAcentral describes it as "bacterial SSU rRNA". It matches the Rfam family "Bacterial small subunit ribosomal RNA", at positions 355 to 774 of the family's 1533-position model. Lineage: Bacteria; Pseudomonadati; Planctomycetota; Planctomycetia; Pirellulales; Pirellulaceae. The record is from RNAcentral.